CUGAGCGGAGCGUUAAUCCAAAUUGAUGGCCUUGUGAACGUUCGAUGCUGAUAAUACAAAAAAAAAAAAAUGUACAAAAAAUGUUACAAAAAGAAACGAGCCGGCGUAAAAAAAGGAAGAAAAGGAAAAGAAAAGGGAAAAGAAAUCGUCAGAAAGGAAUCCUAAUAAAACGUUUCGAAAUAAUUUUCAAGUUUUUUCUUACGUAAAAAACCUAAAUUAUUUUCUCUUUUCUAUAUCGCAUAAAGAAUAAAAUUAGGAUGCAUAUCUUAUCGGUCAAAAAGAAAAAUAUAUACGAGCUGCUUUAUAAUACGUGUCCGUCAUUGAACAGACUUGGGCGGCUAUUUGCCGACACGUGUCUGUAUAUAUUAGUUUGGAAAUUAUGAAACGGGCGUUUUUUGUUUAGUCUGUGUUCAGCUGCGACUGAGAGAGAUACAUUGUAACGUGCGCUCGAUAUUUUAAUUUAUAAAGCUUAAAGAUGGAAACAAAACGCGAUUUACAUCUACUCUUCUUGUACGAGUUUAAAUUAAAUCAUACCGCAGCUCAAGCUUCAAGAAAUAUUAAUCAGGCAUUCGGAGAUGAAUCCACCAAUGAAAAAAAUGCUCGAUAUUGGUUCCAAAAAUUUCAUUCUGGCAAUUUGAGUAUCGUCAAUGAGCUUUGAGGAAGACCAACGGGCCCAUAUUGAUAACGAGGAAUUAAGGACGACUUUGAAAUCUGAUCCACACAUAAUUAGUCGAACACUUUGAUCUAAACUAGGAACUAGUCAUACAGCUGUAUUAAAUCAUUUGCGUACAAUAAAUAAAGUCAAAAAAUUGGACUUAUAUGUGCCGCACGAAUUGACGCAACUGCAGAUGAACGACCGCAAAAGCAAGUGGGCAUCUUUGUUGCUUCGCAAUACACGAUUGCCAUUUUUACACCAAAUCAUCACUUGUGAUGAAAAGUGGAUUUUGUAUGAUAAUCGAAAACGAUCAAGCCAAUGGGUAGAUAAGAAUACACCACCAGGGCACACUCCGAAAUCGAAAUUUCAUUAAAAAAAAAUUAUGGUUACCAUAUGGUGGAAUGCCUAAGGAGUGAUCCAUUAUUAUUUUCUACAACCAGGCGAAACUAUAACACUGAUGUCUUAUUGUCGUGAAAUUGAUGACAUGCUUGAGAAACUUAUGAAAAAACAACCAGCAUUGCUCAAUCGAUUCGGCACAAUAUUACUGCAUGAUAACCACAUAAAGCUUCAAUUACUGUUGACAAAUUAACUUCUCUACAAUAUGAAAUUUUACCACAUCCUCCAUAUUCACCCGAUAUUUCACCGAUCGAUUAUUAUCUUUUUCGUAAUUAUGAAUUAUUUUUAAGAGAAAAAAAAUACAAUAACCAAAAUGAUAUCAUAAAAGACUUUGAAUUAUUUAUUAACUCUAAAAAUAAAGUUGUUUUUUUAAAAGGCAUAUAUGAUUUGUCCAAUCGUUGGCAAAAAGUCUUAGAUGCCAAUUAUUUCAAUUGAAUAUAAUAAAUAAUGUGAAAAAUUG
This is a long non-coding RNA of Vespa crabro (European hornet), 1511 nucleotides long. RefSeq lists it as uncharacterized. The transcript has 2 exons. NCBI's taxonomy places the organism in Eukaryota, Metazoa, Arthropoda, Insecta, Hymenoptera, Vespidae. The record is from RefSeq and is a predicted model, not a curated record.